AGUGAACGCUGGCGGUAGGCCUAACACAUGCCAGUCGAACGGCAGCACAGUAAGAGCUUGCUCUUACGGGUGGCGAGUGGCGGACGGGUGAGGAAUACAUCGGAAUCUACUUUUUCGUGGGGGAUAACGUAGGGAAACUUACGCUAAUACCGCAUACGACCUACGGGUGAAAGCAGGGGAUCUUCGGACCUUGCGCGAUUGAAUGAGCCGAUGUCGGAUUAGCUAGUUGGCGGGGUAAAGGCCCACCAAGGCGACGAUCCGUAGCUGGUCUGAGAGGAUGAUCAGCCACACUGCAACUGAGACACGGUCCAGACUCCUACGGGAGGCAGCAGUGGGGAAUAUUGGACAAUGGGCGCAAGCCUGAUCCAGCCAUACCGCGUGGGUGAAGAAGGCCUUCGGGUUGUAAAGCCCUUUUGUUGGGAAAGAAAAGCAGCAGGUUAAUACCCCGCUGUUCUGACGGUACCCAAAGAAUAAGCACCGGCUAACUUCGUG
This 492-nucleotide ribosomal RNA is filed under the name uncultured bacterium. RNAcentral describes it as "partial 16S ribosomal RNA". It matches the Rfam family "Bacterial small subunit ribosomal RNA", at positions 29 to 507 of the family's 1533-position model. The record is from RNAcentral.